Long non-coding RNA from Pipistrellus kuhlii (Kuhl's pipistrelle), 366 nucleotides. RefSeq lists it as uncharacterized. The transcript has 4 exons. The record is from RefSeq and is a predicted model, not a curated record. Lineage: Eukaryota; Metazoa; Chordata; Mammalia; Chiroptera; Vespertilionidae.
CUGCCUGGGCUUAGAAUCAAAUACAAACUCUUACCCAUACCUUCUUGCAGUAGCCAGAGCGGCAAGCUCUACAUACAUCAGAAGCUCAAAGAAUGAUUUAUCAACACACACAGUAUAUGUUCAACAGGGAUACUCUACUUCCGGGAAGGACCAACCAUUCCAAGACCUAAAUAUAAACCUCUUUUCAUUGAUUGCUGAUCACACCAAACAAAUCCAAAUGAUAAAGUUCAAGACCGAUUACAGUGGCAAUGACAGUUCAGAUUCAGUGUGUGUUUGGAACUCCUCAAAGUGUAACAGACUGGCCACUGGGGCCCGGAUCAACGGUGAGGGUCACACCUGCCAAUGCCAGGGGACAUCAUACACACA